GUAGGGUGCGAGCGUUAAUCGGAAUUACUGGGCGUAAAGCGUGCGCAGGCGGCUUUGCAAGACAGAUGUGAAAUCCCCGGGCUCAACCUGGGAACUGCCUUUGUGACUGCAAGGCUAGAGUACGGCAGAGGGGGAUGGAAUUCCGCGUGUAGCAGUGAAAUGCGUAGAUAUGCGGAGGAACACCAAUGGCGAAGGCAAUCCCCUGGGCCUGUACUGACGCUCAUGCACGAAAGCGUGGGGAGCAAACAGGAUUAGAUACCCUGGUAGUCCACGCCCUAAACGAUGUCAACUGGUUGUUGGACGGCUUGCUGUUCAGUAACGAAGCUAACGCGUGAAGUUGACCGCCUGGGGAGUACGGCCGCAAGGUUGAA
Molecule: ribosomal RNA, 371 nt
Filed under: uncultured Aquabacterium sp.
Lineage: Bacteria; Pseudomonadati; Pseudomonadota; Betaproteobacteria; Burkholderiales; Sphaerotilaceae
Description: bacterial SSU rRNA
Rfam family: Bacterial small subunit ribosomal RNA
Source: RNAcentral